RNAcentral lists this ribosomal RNA (1434 nucleotides) under uncultured bacterium. RNAcentral's name for it is "bacterial SSU rRNA". It matches the Rfam family "Bacterial small subunit ribosomal RNA". The record is from RNAcentral.
AGAGUUUGAUCCUGGCUCAGGAUGAACGCUAGCGGGAGGCUUAACACAUGCAAGUCGAGCGGGAUUGGAUAGCUUGCUAUCCAUGAGAGCGGCGCACGGGUGAGUAACGCGUAUGCAACCUACCUUUUACAGGGGAAUAGCCCAGGGAAACUUGGAUUAAUGCCCCAUGGUAUCAUAAUACCGCAUGGUAUAUUGAUUAAAGUUCCGACGGUAAAAGAUGGGCAUGCGUGACAUUAGUUUGUUGGCGGGGUAACGGCCCACCAAGACUACGAUGUCUAGGGGUUCUGAGAGGAUGAUCCCCCACACUGGUACUGAGACACGGACCAGACUCCUACGGGAGGCAGCAGUGAGGAAUAUUGGUCAAUGGGCGCAAGCCUGAACCAGCCAUCCCGCGUGAAGGACGACUGCCCUAUGGGUUGUAAACUUCUUUUCUGUCCCAAGAACGGGCGAUACGUGUAUCGUUAUGACGGUAGGACAGGAAUAAGCAUCGGCUAACUCCGUGCCAGCAGCCGCGGUAAUACGGAGGAUGCGAGCGUUAUCCGGAUUCAUUGGGUUUAAAGGGUGCGUAGGCGGCUUUUUAAGUCAGUGGUGAAAUCCUGCGGCUCAACCGUAGAACUGCCAUUGAUACUGACAAGCUUGAAUUCAAUUGAAGUAGGCGGAAUGAGUAGUGUAGCGGUGAAAUGCUUAGAUAUUACUCAGAACACCAAUUGCGAAGGCAGCUUACUAAACUGAUAUUGACGCUGAGGCACGAAAGCGUGGGUAGCGAACAGGAUUAGAUACCCUGGUAGUCCACGCCGUAAACGAUGUUCACUCGCUGUAUGCGAUACACAGUAUGCGGCCAAGCGAAAGCAUUAAGUGAACCACCUGGGGAGUACGUCGGCAACGGUGAAACUCAAAGGAAUUGACGGGGGCCCGCACAAGCGGAGGAACAUGUGGUUUAAUUCGAUGAUACGCGAGGAACCUUACCUGGGCUUAAAUGUAGAGUGCAUGUUGUGGAAACACACUUCCCUUCGGGGCUCUUUACAAGGUGCUGCAUGGUUGUCGUCAGCUCGUGCCGUGAGGUGUCGGGUUAAGUCCCAUAACGAGCGCAACCCCUAUCGUUAGUUGCCAUCAGGUCAAGCUGGGAACUCUAACGAGACUGCCACCGUAAGGUGAGAGGAAGGUGGGGAUGACGUCAAAUCAGCACGGCCCUUAUGUCCAGGGCUACACACGUGUUACAAUGGUCGGUACAAAGGGCAGCUACACCGCGAGGUGAUGCUAAUCUCUAAAGCCGGUCUCAGUUCGGAUCGGAGUCUGCAACUCGACUCCGUGAAGUUGGAUUCGCUAGUAAUCGGAUAUCAGCCAUGAUCCGGUGAAUACGUUCCCGGGCCUUGUACACACCGCCCGUCAAACCAUGGAAGCUGGGGGGACCUGAAGUCUGUCACCGUAAGAGCG